UAAGAGCUUGCUCUUAUGAAGUUAGCGGCGGACGGGUGAGUAACACGUGGGUAACCUGCCCAUAAGACUGGGAUAACUCCGGGAAACCGGGGCUAAUACCGGAUAACAUUUUGAACCGCAUGGUUCGAAAUUGAAAGGCGGCUUCGGCUGUCACUUAUGGAUGGACCCGCGUCGCAUUAGCUAGUUGGUGAGGUAACGGCUCACCAAGGCAACGAUGCGUAGCCGACCUGAGAGGGUGAUCGGCCACACUGGGACUGAGACACGGCCCAGACUCCUACGGGAGGCAGCAGUAGGGAAUCUUCCGCAAUGGACGAAAGUCUGACGGAGCAACGCCGCGUGAGUGAUGAAGGCUUUCGGGUCGUAAAACUCUGUUGUUAGGGAAGAACAAGUGCUAGUUGAAUAAGCUGGCACCUUGACGGUACCUAACCAGAAAGCCACGGCUAACUACGUGCCAGCAGCCGCGGUAAUACGUAGGUGGCAAGCGUUAUCCGGAAUUAUUGGGCGUAAAGCGCGCGCAGGUGGUUUCUUAAGUCUGAUGUGAAAGCCCACGGCUCAACCCGUGGGAGGGUCAUUGGAAACUGGGAGACUUGAGUGCAGAAGAGGAAAGUGGAAUUCCAUGUGUAGCGGUGAAAUGCGUAGGAGAUAUGGAGGAACACCAGUGGCGGAAGGGCGACUUUCUGGGUCUGUAACUGACACUGAGGCGCGAAAGCGUGGGGGAGCCAAAC
This 725-nucleotide ribosomal RNA is filed under the name Bacillus cereus. RNAcentral describes it as "bacterial SSU rRNA". It matches the Rfam family "Bacterial small subunit ribosomal RNA", at positions 73 to 774 of the family's 1533-position model. The record is from RNAcentral. Lineage: Bacteria; Bacillati; Bacillota; Bacilli; Caryophanales; Bacillaceae.